GCUUAAAUAAUUUAAGUUAAAAUUUCAGUUUGUGGUUCUGAACAUGUAAAGUUUACUUUAGGCU
Molecule: transfer RNA, 64 nt
Filed under: Phraortes illepidus
Lineage: Eukaryota; Metazoa; Arthropoda; Insecta; Phasmatodea; Lonchodidae
Also listed under: 1 other name
Description: tRNA-His
Source: RNAcentral